GUUGAGCCCUUGGCCGUCCCAUAUCUUAUUAUGCCAAUUAAUUUUCACGUCCUAUGGGAAUCAUUUGGAAAUACUUGUCAUUAUGCCAACCAUAGCAGCCUAUUCGAUUUGCGUACGGCAUUCAGAACCCCGGGACUUUUACCUUUAUUUCAAGCGCACAGUUCCGGGUAGUCUGACAGACACACAGUGAUAAAGUUCAACAAAGGUAGAUAUAUCAGAGCUGCACUCUAGCUACCAGAGUUGACACUUCAAACCUGGAUUAUAAGGAAAAAGGAGGCAGCCUCGGACUGCAACAUCUAUUCCCUGAAUAAGCAGCACAUUAACCAGUAGGAGGACCUUUCAGACCUCCAGGGAACUAAAGAAGAGGGGGACGGACCGAAAUCACCUCCGGGUUAACCACUAUAGAAGAAGAUCAAGCCAAGGAUCCCUAUGUCGCACUACAACAAUACUGGAGAAUAUAACAACCCUGCCUAUCAUGACAGUGACACCCUGGAGAUAGAUAGGAGUCCUUCCAGGAAAUCCCAAUCCCAUCACAGUAACCCACAUGGUAACCCCUACCCCAGGGAUGAUGGAGCCGGGGGGCAGAGAGGCAGGUCUGACCUCCAGCAGCUCCCAGGAGGGGUCCAGUCCAGCUACGACGAUGCCCAGGAGAGAGUACCCUGGGGCGGGUGGCAGGAGGGGAGCUGGAGGGGCAGAGACAGCAUUCCCAUGGGUCUCCUUCCUCCCCGGUCGGAGAGCCCACGAUGGCAGCAGCAUGACCUCAAUCACAGCGGGUACCAGAUCGACCAGGCAACGCAUUAUGAC
Molecule: long non-coding RNA, 804 nt
Filed under: Salmo salar (Atlantic salmon)
Lineage: Eukaryota; Metazoa; Chordata; Actinopteri; Salmoniformes; Salmonidae
Description: lncRNA (ENSSSAG00000119549.1)
Source: RNAcentral